GAUGAACGCUGGCGGCGUGCCUAAUACCCUUAAGACGAGCGAACAGAUGAGAAGCUUGCUUCUCUGAUGUUAGCGGCGGACGGGUGAGUAACACGUGGGUAAACCUACCUAUAAGACUGGGAUAACUCCGGGAAACCGGGGCUAAUACCAGAUAAUACAUUGAACCGCAUGGUUCAAUGUUGAAAGACGGUUUCGGCUGUCACUUAUAGAUGGACCCGCGCCGUAUUAGCUAGUUGGUAAGGUAACGGCUUACCAAGGCAACGAUACGUAGCCGACCUGAGAGGGUGAUCGGCCACACUGGAACUGAGACACGGUCCAGACUCCUACGGGAGGCAGCAGUAGGGAAUCUUCCGCAAUGGGCGAAAGCCUGACGGAGCAACGCCGCGUGAGUGAUGAAGGUCUUAGGAUCGUAAAACUCUGUUGUUAGGGAAGAACAAAUUUGUUAGUAACUGAACAAGUCUUGACGGUACCUAACCAGAAAGCCACGGCUAACUACGUGCCAGCAGCCGCGGUAAUACGUAGGUGCAAGCGUUAUCCGGAAUUAUUGGGCGUAAAGCGCGCGUAGGCGGUUUCUUAAGUCUGAUGUGAAAGCCCACGGCUCAACCGUGGAGGGUCAUUGGAAACUGGGGAACUUGAGUGCAGAAGAGGAGAGUGGAAUUCCAUGUGUAGCGGUGAAAUGCGCAGAGAUAUGGAGGAACACCAGUGGCGAAGGCGGCUCUCUGGUCUGUAACUGACGCUGAUGUGCGAAAGCGUGGGGAUCAAACAGGAUUAGAUACCCUGGUAGUCCACGCCGUAAACGAUGAGUGCUAAGUGUUAGGGGGUUUCCGCCCCUUAGUGCUGCAGCUAACGCAUUAAGCACUCCGCCUGGGGAGUACGACCGCAAGGUUGAAACUCAAAGGAAUUGACGGGGACCCGCACAAGCGGUGGAGCAUGUGGUUUAAUUCGAAGCAACGCGAAGAACCUUACCAAAUCUUGACAUCCUUUGACCGCUCUAGAGAUAGAGUCUUCCCCUUCGGGGGACAAAGUGACAGGUGGUGCAUGGUUGUCGUCAGCUCGUGUCGUGAGAUGUUGGGUUAAGUCCCGCAACGAGCGCAACCCUUAAGCUUAGUUGCCAUCAUUAAGUUGGGCACUCUAGGUUGACUGCCGGUGACAAACCGGAGGAAGGUGGGGAUGACGUCGAAUCAUCAUGCCCCUUAUGAUUUGGGCUACACACGUGCUACAAUGGAUAAUACAAAGGGCAGCGAACCCGCGAGGUCAAGCAAAUCCCAUAAAAUUAUUCUCAGUUCGGAUUGUAGUCUGCAACUCGACUACAUGAAGCUGGAAUCGCUAGUAAUCGUAGAUCAGCAUGCUACGGUGAAUACGUUCCCGGGUCUUGUACACACCGCCCGUCACACCACGAGAGUUUGUAACACCCGAAGCCGGUGGAGUAACCUUUUAUUAGGAGCUAGCCGUCGAAGGUGGGACAGAUGA
This 1470-nucleotide ribosomal RNA is filed under the name uncultured bacterium. RNAcentral's name for it is "bacterial SSU rRNA". It matches the Rfam family "Bacterial small subunit ribosomal RNA". The record is from RNAcentral.